UAGUCCUACGGGGCGCAGCAGUGGGGGAUAUUGCACAAUGGGGGGAACCCUGAUGCAGCGACGCCGCGUGGGUGAAGGAGCGUUUCGGCGCGUAAAGCCCUAUCGGCAGGGAAGAAGGAGGACGGUACCUGACUAAGAAGCCCCGGCUAACUACGUGCCAGCAGCCGCGGUAAUACGUAGGGGGCAAGCGUUAUCCGGAUUCACUGGGUGUAAAGGGAGCGUAGACGGCCAUGCAAGCCAGGGGUGAAAGCCCGGGGCCCCACCCCGGGACUGCCCUUG
This 279-nucleotide ribosomal RNA is filed under the name uncultured bacterium. RNAcentral describes it as "partial 16S ribosomal RNA". It matches the Rfam family "Bacterial small subunit ribosomal RNA", at positions 334 to 629 of the family's 1533-position model. The record is from RNAcentral.